This 2584-nucleotide long non-coding RNA is filed under the name Vigna radiata. RNAcentral's name for it is "long non-coding RNA (VRAD_LNC010908)". The record is from RNAcentral. Lineage: Eukaryota; Viridiplantae; Streptophyta; Magnoliopsida; Fabales; Fabaceae.
UCCCAUGUUUCUUGUUUCUUUCUUCCUUCCUAGCCUCUGCCUAACUUCUCCUUCCUUUUCAGCCACAACAACCAAAGCCAUGAAUCUUCCAUCUUCUUCUCUACCUGUCCCUUCUAUCCAUUUUCCUGCUCACUCUUGCUUUAACUUGUUUAUCUACUCUACCCAAAUUCUCAUACACACUUAUUACAUGCGCACGUUUGCUUUUUUAGAGUUUAACUGGAUUUAUAAAAACAACACUUUUCAAUGAAUCAAGUAGGUUAUCUCUUAUCUCCCAACUUCCCUUUAAAGAGACACAUAAUAUUGCCAAGAUUUGCAGUGCGACCAACUUUUUUGCAUUUCAGGUAUGAUGGAUUUCAAUGGAUUCGUCAAUAUCUAUACUGUUAAUAAAUGGACGACUCAUCAAACAGGUCUGAACAUCUUUGCAUGAGUUGUUGGGCGAGGAAAAAAAAGAACUUUAGACACUGUUUACAGUCCACAAUAAGAAGCACAAGAGACACUGAUCAAAUGGUAAUUUUCACUGUUCCUAGAAUAACUUUCCCAAACAGAAAUAAAAGGGUACUCAAGAUUUGUUUACAGCUUGUCACCUCUAUUAUUGCUUUCCGUCAUCACAUGUUUCGGAAGCUCUGUCAAAUUAGCCUGACAUUUUAGCAAAUACUCUUUAAAAAGUUGGGAAUUUCCCAUCAGUAACCUUAUAUGUCUUUUUUUUCACAGAGAAUAAAGUGAGUUUGUUCUGGAUUGCUUUUGUUUAGUGUGUGCUACCAUUUAGUAAAGAUGAGAUGUAUACAAAUGCAUGAAACAGUAAUGCAGAACAGUGGCAACUUUUAAAGCAAAUAUUGAUUAUAGCAUAAAAACUGUAAUGAGUUUAUAACAACUGUUUUUAAGUAUGUGGCUAGAGAUUGGUCAUUUUAAAUAGUAGUCUCCAAGAAAUGUAAUGAGUUCAGAACAAAUGUAUGACCACAAUUACGAGACAAACAUAUAUAAAUGUGUGACUUCGGCUUGUAGUGAUUAUUCCUGCUUUUAUUUUUGGUGAGAUAGUCAUUCUGACACCACAACACAUGACCACAAUUGCGAGACAAAAAAAAAAAUUGUUUUCAUGAAUCUACACAUCAACCAACUCUAUUUAUGAUACAUUGGUUUUAUUAGGACAAAACUGUUAUUUCAUGAAUAAACUCUUUCUACUUUUUGUAUUGAAUUUGAACCAUCCAUUUGUUAACAUUGGGCCAUUGCCAGCUCUAUUCUGUGCUCUUUUGUGGAGGCAGCACAAUUUUGGUAGGCUGAAAAUUUCAUCACACAACGCCUCCUGUGGAAAAGAAUCAAAAGAUAAAGACAAAUCCGCUGGUGAGCAGUGCAACCGAUCAACUCACAAUUAUUAUUAUCAUUUCAAACAGAAACAUGAUACAAUAUAGCAGUACAGAUUUACUUUGGUCCACCAUAUUCUCUUACAAAUGAAGACUUCUAGACCACGUUUGUGUAGGUUUUAGCAUAGAUUAAUGACAGACUUAUCUUAAUAUCUCCCAACCUAUCGUUUUUUUAUAAGCCAGCAAACCCCUUUUUUUAUCUUACAAAGAAAAAGAAACAAGAUAAGGUUCUUCACUCAUUUGUUUUAAAAGGAGAAAUUGAUCAUGUCGGUGCUCAAGCUUUCCAUCAUGACAUUCUCCAUGAAUCCACACUUGUAAGGAGCUGUCUUCUUGAAGCUGUGGCCGCGUGGCUUGAGUGAGCAUGAAGAAAUAGGAAUGAUUGGGAUAUUCUGACAGUUGCAGAGCUCAAUCAUGUAGCCAUCAGGGUCAUGGAAGAACACUUGGUCCACCUUGGCUCCUCCUUCCUCCACCACAGCUGUCACAUACCUCAUCCCCCUCUCUUCUAACCUCUUCUUAACAAGUUCAACAUCAGUACACUGCCCAAAAUCAAAAACAUUCCAUGUCAACAUUUGAUUUCUUCUACUCAAACUAUAUAGCUGAUUAAGUUCUAUUACCAUGUAAGCAACCUUGUUUCAACAAAUUCUUACCACAAACUACAAAAAAUAGAGUAAAUAAUAUCUCUCCAUGGAUAGUGUAAAGUACUUUUACAUUAUCAUAUCAUGAACUGUCAUGUAUAGUAAGUUUCUCAGACAUGUAUAGUACCUAUCUCACAUUAUAUCAAUAAUGAAUAUUUAUCACUGGAACAACUUAAAAGUUACUAAAGAAAGUCAUAAAAGUCAUAGAGGACCUUUUCAUAAUAAAGUAAACUGAAGUAAAAAACUUCGCAGCUCAAGGUCUAACUAAGCAAUCUCCAAGAAAAAAAGGUUCUUAAAUAUUUUUCAGUAUUAAUAAAUAUCUGUUAAACUAAUUAUAAAAUAAUAUUUAGAAAAAUAAAAUUAGUUUAGUACUAAUAUAUCUUUAUUAAAUCAAUUCUUGAGAAAUGUCUCCUCUUCAAUUUAUUUGUUUUAGGUCUUCUAAACCCUUAAAGAUUGACUUAGAACUUGUUACCUGGAAUGAGAUAUGGUUGUCCUUGGGAUUGAUGGGCCUAAAUUCAUUGGCACAGGUAUCAAAUUCAUCAAGGUGAGGAUUCUCAAUCAAGUGUAUUCCAAUACCAUAAUUGUAAAACC